ACGUUGGUGGUUCAGAGGUAGAAUUCUCUCCUCCCACGCUGGAGACCCAGGUUCAACUCCUGGUCAACGUA
RNAcentral lists this transfer RNA (71 nucleotides) under Loxodonta africana (African savanna elephant). It matches the Rfam family "tRNA". From Rfam's summary of the family: Transfer RNA (tRNA) molecules are approximately 80 nucleotides in length. Their secondary structure includes four short double-helical elements and three loops (D, anti-codon, and T loops). Lineage: Eukaryota; Metazoa; Chordata; Mammalia; Proboscidea; Elephantidae. The record is from Rfam by way of RNAcentral.